Molecule: non-coding RNA, 379 nt
Organism: Pelobates cultripes (western spadefoot toad)
Lineage: Eukaryota; Metazoa; Chordata; Amphibia; Anura; Pelobatidae
Source: the annotation of a GenBank genome assembly
UAGUGGCGGAUCCAGAGCCUGAGCCUGAGAGGGGCACUUGUAGAUUAUUUAAAGAAAUAUUCCAUGCACAAUAACCACUACUCCUCUGUGUAGUGGUUAUGGUGCCAGAAGCGUCGGCACCCCCUCCCAGAGUAAGUCGUCAAACCGUUUAAGAACAGUUUGACAACUUACCUGGAGUCUGCUGGGAUAUGGGGCUGUAGUAGGGUAUAGGAGCAGUGGUGCAAUGUGUGUGAAAGGUUCAGUGUGUGGGUGGGCAGUGUGUAAAUGUGUAUGGUGUGUGUGUGUGUGUGUGGGGGCAGUGUGUGAAUGUGUAUGGUGUGUGUGUGGGGCAGUGUGUGUAUGGGGCUAGAGUUCACUCCUACUACUGGGACCACCAGGA